AAAGUUCAUGGAAAAAUUUGGGUUUUUCAUGGAUGUUCUUCAUUGUUCUUGAUGUUCUUGCCAAGAACAAAAGGGUUUAGUGUUUUGAUUCAAAGUUUUGAUUUAUUUCAUAAAGUAUAUGUGAUAUGUUUUUUAAAUGUUUUAUCAUGUAUUUAAAGUGUUAGAUAUUUGUAUAAAUGAUGAUUGAAAUAAUUGUGAUUGAAUUAUUUCAAAAACUUAUCUUACAUACACUUGCAUGCUUUUGACAAAACUCACAAAUCAACACACACACCAACCUCAUCCUCUCCCUAAAACAGGCCACUCCCUCAAAGGGAGUACUUUUGGGGCUUUUAUGCAAUUACAUAAAGUUUUGAUACUUUUGUGUAUUUGCACUUUGGCCCAAAAGUUUACGUUUUUACGUUUAGGUCCAAAAACGCUAAAGGACAAAUUGUUUUGAUCCUUUAAUGAUGUUUUUGCAUUAUUAAAAGUUUGGGUUC
This 476-nucleotide long non-coding RNA is filed under the name Malus domestica (apple). RNAcentral describes it as "long non-coding RNA (MDOM_LNC019995)". The record is from RNAcentral. Lineage: Eukaryota; Viridiplantae; Streptophyta; Magnoliopsida; Rosales; Rosaceae.